UACCAGCACCCCGAGUGGGCGGGACGUUUAUUGGGCCUAAAGCAUCCGUAGCCGGUUCUACAAGUCUUCCGUUAAAUCCACCUGCUUAACAGAUGGGCUGCGGAAGAUACUAUAGAGCUAGGAGGCGGGAGAGGCAAGCGGUACUCGAUGGGUAGGGGUAAAAUCCGUUGAUCCAUUGAAGACCACCAGUGGCGAAGGCGGCUUGCCAGAACGCGCUCGACGGUGAGGGAUGAAAGCUGGGGGAGCAAACCGG
RNAcentral lists this ribosomal RNA (253 nucleotides) under uncultured bacterium. RNAcentral's name for it is "partial 16S ribosomal RNA". It matches the Rfam family "Archaeal small subunit ribosomal RNA", at positions 474 to 727 of the family's 1478-position model. The record is from RNAcentral.